RNAcentral lists this long non-coding RNA (213 nucleotides) under Salvia miltiorrhiza (redroot sage). RNAcentral describes it as "long non-coding RNA (SMIL_LNC003618)". The record is from RNAcentral. Lineage: Eukaryota; Viridiplantae; Streptophyta; Magnoliopsida; Lamiales; Lamiaceae.
GGAGCUAAGGUGAGGUAAAUAUGGUUCAAUGGCUAAUUCAGUAUCACCCUUACUCAGUAUACACAUUCAGUACAGCUACAACCAAUCCUUUAUUCCCCCGCUUUCAAUGGGGUGCAUCUUUUCUUUGAUUUUUGGCAAUAAUUUUCAUUCAUUUUUUUUUUUUGUGCCCAGACUUUCUUUCUUUUCUCUUGUUCCUUGUUUAACAUUUUAUGC